Manduca sexta (tobacco hornworm) is the source of this 477-nucleotide long non-coding RNA. RefSeq lists it as uncharacterized. Lineage: Eukaryota; Metazoa; Arthropoda; Insecta; Lepidoptera; Sphingidae. The record is from RefSeq and is a predicted model, not a curated record. The transcript is spliced from 2 exons.
CUCUGUGUUGAGCAGUUGUAGAAUAUGUCUGUCACGAAUUUUAGACCCAGCGGUGCUAACGUGCCACCAUCGAUUUUGUGAAAAAUGCCUGUUUCAGUACUGGGAUGAUAGCGAUAAACCUGAAUUCAUUGUCUGCCCGCUUUGCAGGGCUAAUGUGUUUAAGGUUGAGUUUAUUAAGAAAGAUGACAUAUCAGCUACUGAAGAUUUUAGAAGGACUUUCAAUCCAUUGCCAAAAAUAAGUAAUACAAGACAAAAUGCAACAAAUGUGAUAUUCUAUGUGAAACUUGGUUUGUUGAUACUAAUACUGUAUUGUUUUUUCAAUUGGAUUCAUAUACCACUGAAUCUUUUAAUAUUGGUUUCACAUAUUCUUGUGAAAAUGGAAAAUAAAAUGUAAUAUUGUAUAGACUUUGCUAUCUGAAUAGUCUUUUAAAUUCAUUUAAAUACUGAACAAUAAAAAAUGUUUAGCAAUUUUUUAAA